GCCUAACACCACACCACCCCAAAAACGCCUGAUCUCAUCUGAUCUCAGAAGCUAAGCAGCGUCAGACUCAGUUAGUACUUGGAUGGCACACCACCUGGGAAUCCGGGGUGCUGCAGGCU
This 119-nucleotide ribosomal RNA is filed under the name Amazona aestiva (blue-fronted amazon). The record is from RNAcentral. Lineage: Eukaryota; Metazoa; Chordata; Aves; Psittaciformes; Psittacidae.